Molecule: transfer RNA, 64 nt
Filed under: Myrmecophilus manni (Mann's ant cricket)
Lineage: Eukaryota; Metazoa; Arthropoda; Insecta; Orthoptera; Myrmecophilidae
Description: tRNA-Tyr
Source: RNAcentral
AGUGAGAUGACUGAAUUAGGUGAUAAAUUGUAAGUUUAUUUAUGAGAUUAAAUCUCUCUCAUUA